GAUGAACGCUGGCGGCGUGCCUAAUACAUGUAAGUCGAGCGAACGGACGAGAAGCUUGCUUUUCUGAUGUUAGCGGCGGACGGGUGAGUAACACGUGGAUAACCUACCUAUAAGACUUGGAUAACUUCGGGAAACCGGAUCUAAUACCGGAUAAUAUUUUGAACCGCAUGGUUCAAAAGUUCAAGACGGUCUUGCUGUCACUUAUAGCUGGAUCCGCGCUGCAUUAGCUAGUUGGUAAGGUAACGGCUUACCAAGGCAACGAUGCAUAGCCGACCUGAGAGGGUGAUCGGCCACACUGGAACUGAGACACGGUCCAGACUCCUACGGGAGGCAGCAGUAGGGAAUAUUGCGCAAUGGGCGAAAGCCUGACGGAGCAACGCCGCGUGAGUGAUGAAGGUCUUCGGAUCGUAAAACUCUGUUAUUAGGGAAGAAAAGAUGUGUAAGUAACUGUGGACAUCUUGACGGUACCUAAUCAGAAAGCCACGGCUAACUACGUG
RNAcentral lists this ribosomal RNA (497 nucleotides) under uncultured bacterium. Its description in RNAcentral is "partial 16S ribosomal RNA". It matches the Rfam family "Bacterial small subunit ribosomal RNA", at positions 28 to 507 of the family's 1533-position model. The record is from RNAcentral.